CAUUUUGACAUCUAUUAACUAAUAUAGGCUCUUUGAAGACAGUGGCAUAUUGUUUGUCUCCAUACUGUCAAUGCGCAGCGUAAUCUCUGACAAAUGAAUUUCGCUUGUCGCCCAGGCUGGAGUGCAAUGACGCGAUCUCGGCUCACUGCAACCUUCGCCUCCUUGGUUCAAGUGAUUCUCCUGCCUCAGACUCCCGAGUACCUGGGAUUACAGGCAUGUGCCAGCACGCCUGUAUUUUUGUAUUUUUAGUAGAGACGGGGUUUCACCAUGUUGGCUAGGCUGGUCUGGAAAUCCUGACCUCAGGUGAUCUGCCCGCCUUGGCCUCCCAAAGUGCUGGGAUUACAGGCAUGAGGCAUCGUGCCCGGCCUGUUGUAAUUUCCUUCUCUAUACUAAAAGGUGUUUUACACAUAUAAAGUAUUUUUCUUUAUUAUAAUGAGAAAUAAAUCUUAUAAAAAUA
Molecule: long non-coding RNA, 457 nt
Filed under: Pan troglodytes (chimpanzee)
Lineage: Eukaryota; Metazoa; Chordata; Mammalia; Primates; Hominidae
Description: lincRNA
Source: RNAcentral